RNAcentral lists this long non-coding RNA (290 nucleotides) under Setaria viridis. RNAcentral describes it as "long non-coding RNA (SVIR_LNC005000)". The record is from RNAcentral. Lineage: Eukaryota; Viridiplantae; Streptophyta; Magnoliopsida; Poales; Poaceae.
UUCUCGAAUCAAGUACCGCAAUGAUCUUAAAAAUUUAACAAAUCCCCCUUUAAAUGACGAAUACAUGUGAAAUCGAGGGGAGCGGCGGCGGAUUGCAGUAGUGGCGGAGCUCGGCCGUGGCAACGGGCGGCUGCAGCAAGUGGUGGCGGCGGCGGCUAAACCCUACCAAGGGCGAGCACCGCAAGUGACCUUGCAGUAAAUGGGGAAUCGUGGGUCAGCAAGAGUGACACGGCGUUGGAUAUAAAGUCAUAAAGGUAUAGUGCGCACCCAGAUAACAAGAUGGGUAGGAG